Long non-coding RNA from Amphimedon queenslandica, 727 nucleotides. RefSeq lists it as uncharacterized. The record is from RefSeq and is a predicted model, not a curated record. The transcript has 2 exons. Lineage: Eukaryota; Metazoa; Porifera; Demospongiae; Haplosclerida; Niphatidae.
UCCCGUCUACUAUCUAUGAUGGAGGUCAUCCUCGAGGUCUUUUUGUUGUUUCCCUUUUUCUUGUCCACUGUUAGAGGACAAGAAACAGGGGCUGUGAGGCUCUAUAAUGAUGGAGAUACUAGCAUUGCAAACAGAGAGGGUAAUGUUGAAAUUUAUUAUAAGGCCACUCCAAUUAGAUUAGUAGUUUCCCGUUUCCCGCCCGCAUAUGCCGCUUCAAAUUUUUGUUAAAUUCAAUUAAUUUUUAUUAUAUUCAAUUUUAACCACUAGUCCACUACACUACUACCUCGAGGCUCGUGCUUUGAACCGUAGAUAGUAGAUUACUAUCUAUGUUUGAACAGUCAACAGUGUAGGUGGAAAUCGGUGGAAAUUGUUGUCUGCUCGUUGAAAUCUACAACCGAGUGUAUCAAUGAUCCAUACUGGGUCAUUGAUAUCGCUAUAUCUUCUACUCCUGGGCUUUCUUUGCCUGUACCACCAGGCUGCACAACCAGGCUACACAUAUCCUACUAGCUCUCUGACUGCUGUCAUAUUCUCAACCUUAUACGAGACCUCUCACUCUCAAGGAGUCACUAAUAUCGUUGAUCAAUCGGAAUUUAUCAGUCUCGUGUCAUCGACUAGUCACGUCAACUCAUUACUAUAGUAAUUGAACUCUUUCUCUCUCCUCCCACUCUCCUUCCCUCUCCUCUUUUUCUUUCCUUCUCUCUUUGUCACUUUUGUUUUGAGCCGGCAC